AUUGAACGCUGGCGGCAGGCUUAACACAUGCAAGUCGAGCGGGGGAAGGUAGCUUGCUACCGGACCUAGCGGCGGACGGGUGAGUAAUGCUUAGGAAUCUGCCUAUUAGUGGGGGACAACUUCUCGAAAGGGAUGCUAAUACCGCAUACGUACUACGGGAGAAAGCAGGGGCUCUUCGGACCUUGCGCUAAUAGAUGAGCCUAGGUCGGAUUAGCUAGUUGGUGGGGUAAAGGCCUACCAAGGCGACGAUCUGUAGCGGGUCUGAGAGGAUGAUCCGCCACACUGGGACUGAGACACGGCCCAGACUCCUACGGGAGGCAGCAGUGGGGAAUAUUGGACAAUGGGGGGAACCCUGAUCCAGCCAUGCCGCGUGUGUGAAGAAGGCCUUAUGGUUGUAAAGCACUUUAAGCGAGGAGGAGGCUACUCUAGUUAAUACCUAGGGAUAGUGGACGUUACUCGCAGAAUAAGCACCGGCUAACUCUGUGCCAGCCGCCGCGGUAA
This 501-nucleotide ribosomal RNA is filed under the name uncultured bacterium. Its description in RNAcentral is "partial 16S ribosomal RNA". It matches the Rfam family "Bacterial small subunit ribosomal RNA", at positions 30 to 523 of the family's 1533-position model. The record is from RNAcentral.